RNAcentral lists this long non-coding RNA (389 nucleotides) under Homo sapiens (human). RNAcentral's name for it is "non-protein coding lnc-RBBP5-1:1". The record is from RNAcentral. Lineage: Eukaryota; Metazoa; Chordata; Mammalia; Primates; Hominidae.
UGAUUUUGUGGUAGAUGGAAUUGGAAAGGAACUUUGGACCAAAACAAAGGUGCUACAGGGCCCAUGCAAGUCUGAAAUCCAAUAGGGCAGUCAUUAAACCCUGCAGUUCCAAAAUCAUCUUCUUUGACUCCAUGUCUUACAUCCAGGGCACACUCAUGCAAGAGGUGGUCUCCCAUGGCAUUGGGCAUCUUCACACCUGUGGCUUUGCAGGAUACAGCCUACCUCCUGGCUGCUUUCAUGGGCUGGUGUUGAGUGUCUGUGGCUUUUCUAGGCACACGGUGCAAGUUGUGUGUGGAUCUACCCUUCUGGGUUCUAGAAGACAGUGGCCUUCUUCUCACAGCUCCACUAGGCAGUGUCCCAGUGGGGACUUUCUGUGGGGGCUCCAACCC